RNAcentral lists this long non-coding RNA (572 nucleotides) under Physcomitrium patens. RNAcentral's name for it is "long non-coding RNA (PPAT_LNC001226)". The record is from RNAcentral. Lineage: Eukaryota; Viridiplantae; Streptophyta; Bryopsida; Funariales; Funariaceae.
GUAUUAUUUUAUUUAUUUAUUUAUUUAAGUUGCCUAAUAAUCAGCUCAUGAGAGUUUUUACAUGCAUCACUUCUUUUAGCAAAGAACCGGCCAUACUAAACAUUGAUCACAAUACCAUCAUUACUUAUUAUCAUACCAAAAAUAUAUACAAAAAUCCUCUUAAAAUUGUUGUCUAAUCACUACUAAAAAUCAACUAUUACCUUGCAAUAACAUAUUAAAUCACAAUCAAUCUAACAAGGUCAUCAACUCUCAAGCCAUGUCUUGUUCUUAUCGCCACCAAAUUGUCUCCACGUCCCCUCAACACCACCACUCUAAUUUCUUUUGAUUGAAAUGCCUUCACCUCACCGCCUCCUCUAAACGGCAGUAUAGCUUAGAUCCAUCAAUGCCAAUCUAAUGCAGUACAACGUUGCUUCUAUUUCAGCUAAGUUGAGUUCCUCUAGAUUUGACACCCCCUCCCCCUCUUAAUCGGCAACUUUCUCUACUAAUCUCGAUCUACUCCUAUGUCCAAAACCAACAAUUUUUUUUCACUGUGUCUGCAACCAAAUCUGCCAUUGCUCGACUUCUUUGUCUAU